This 433-nucleotide ribosomal RNA is filed under the name uncultured bacterium. Its description in RNAcentral is "bacterial SSU rRNA". It matches the Rfam family "Bacterial small subunit ribosomal RNA", at positions 958 to 1392 of the family's 1533-position model. The record is from RNAcentral.
AACGCGAAGUAACCUUACCUGGGCUCGAAAUGUAGUGGACCGGGGUGGAAACAUCCCUUCCCGCAAGGGCUGCUAUAUAGGUGCUGCAUGGCUGUCGUCAGCUCGUGUCGUGAGAUGUUGGGUUAAGUCCCGCAACGAGCGCAACCCUUAUUGUCAGUUGCCAUCAUUAAGUUGGGCACUCUGGCGAAACCGCCUCGGAUAACGGGGAGGAAGGUGGGGAUGACGUCAAGUCCUCAUGGCCUUUAUGUCCAGGGCUACACACGUGCUACAAUGGUCGGUACAAACCGUCGCAAACCCGCGAGGGGGAGCUAAUCGGAAAAAGCCGGCCUCAGUUCGGAUUGGAGUCUGCAACUCGACUCCAUGAAGCUGGAAUCGCUAGUAAUCGCGGAUCAGAACGCCGCGGUGAAUACGUUCCCGGGUCUUGUACACACCG